Molecule: ribosomal RNA, 514 nt
Filed under: uncultured bacterium
Lineage: Bacteria
Description: bacterial SSU rRNA
Rfam family: Bacterial small subunit ribosomal RNA
Source: RNAcentral
AUGGCUCAGAACGAACGCUGGCGGCGCGUCUAAGCAUGCAAGUCGGACGGCAAGGGUUGUGCUUGCACAACUCCUAGAGUGGCGGACUGGUGAGUAACGCGUGGGUGACCUGCCCUCGAGAUGGGGAUAGCCAUUAGAAAUAGUGGAUAAUACCGAAUACGCUCAUGACCCUGUGGGGAUAUGAGGAAAACAGGCUACGGCCUGGCUCGAGGAUGGGCCCGCGUCCCAUUAGCUAGUUGGUGAGGUAACGGCCCACCAAGGCGACGAUGGGUAUCCGGCCUGAGAGGGUGUACGGACACAUUGGGACUGAGAUACGGCCCAAACUCCUACGGGAGGCAGCAGCUAAGAAUAUUCCGCAAUGGACGAAAGUCUGACGGAGCGACGCCGCCGUGGAUGAAGAAGGCCGUGAGGUUGUAAAGUUCUUUUCGGGAGGGGGAACAACCGUGGCAGGGAAUGGCCGCGGGAUGACGUGAAUCCCGGAAUAAGCCCCGGCUAACUACGUGCCAGCAGCAGC